This 72-nucleotide transfer RNA is filed under the name Dipodomys ordii (Ord's kangaroo rat). It matches the Rfam family "tRNA". From Rfam's summary of the family: Transfer RNA (tRNA) molecules are approximately 80 nucleotides in length. Their secondary structure includes four short double-helical elements and three loops (D, anti-codon, and T loops). The record is from Rfam by way of RNAcentral. Lineage: Eukaryota; Metazoa; Chordata; Mammalia; Rodentia; Heteromyidae.
GGGAAGGUGGCUCAGUGGUAGAGCGCUUGCCUUGCAUGCAUGAGGUCCUGGGUUCGAUUCCUUACCACCACA